CUUCACUGCAGAUGUAUUGGAAGAAUAAAGAAAACUUGUUUAUCCUUGGAUUCUGAUCUACUCUGAUCAGCCAGUAUUUAUUUCAGGAUUGUCGCAGUUUAUUUACCGUCAUCAUGAUUCACGGUUGUGAUUUAAUUAGGUUAAAAGUUUCAAGAGUGUCGUCAACGAUUUACCCAGUUUUUAAAAAACGUCUUGUGGAUAUUUAUUGCUUUUAAAGAUGGCUUAAGGUAAUCUGAUUUAAUUCUUUUAAUCCACUUUAAAAAAGAAUUAUGUUCUUUUACCUGUAAAAAAUUAAUUUUUAAACCCAAAUUUUCUUGGAAUAUUUAACGAGUUUAUCACUGUGGUAGUUUGAUGUCUUACAGUGAGACUGACAAAGCUCUGGAAUGGGAAGACGAUAUUAAAUUGUACGUGUAUUAAAGUAAAAAAGGCAGCUUUACCAGUAUUUUAAAAAUAAACUUUAAGUGAAUUGUGUCUGUGUACAUACCAUGUACACUGCAUAUUUUCUGUGUUUAAUGCUCAUUUAUUUAUUCAAAAUAAUAACACUUCUUCCUAUUCCACAGUUUUAUGGGUCCCUCUCUAUAUAAUGCAUGUUAAAAAUGUACUUGCAAAAGAAAUAUUUAUUGUCAUUUAUCAUAUAUAAAGGUUGUAUUUAUCAUAUUUGAAAAUAAAACUUUAUUGAAAAAAA
Molecule: long non-coding RNA, 685 nt
Organism: Eurytemora carolleeae
Lineage: Eukaryota; Metazoa; Arthropoda; Copepoda; Calanoida; Temoridae
Exons: 2
Source: RefSeq, a predicted model, not a curated record